RNAcentral lists this ribosomal RNA (477 nucleotides) under uncultured bacterium. Its description in RNAcentral is "partial 16S ribosomal RNA". It matches the Rfam family "Bacterial small subunit ribosomal RNA", at positions 29 to 507 of the family's 1533-position model. The record is from RNAcentral.
AUUGAACGCUGGCGGCAUGCCUUACACAUGCAAGUCGAGCGGUAACAGGUUAAGCUGACGAGUGGCGAACGGGGGAGUAAUGUAUCGGAACGUGCCCAGUCGUGGGGGAUAACUGCGCGAAAGAGCAGCUAAUACCGCAUACGACCUGGGGGUGAAAGCGGGGGAUCGCAAGACCUCGCGCGAUUGGAGCGGCCGAUCACAGAUUAGGUAGUUGGUGAGGUAAAGGCUCACCAAGCCGACGAUCUGUAGCUGGUCUGAGAGGACGACCAGCCACACUGGGACUGAGACACGGCCCAGACUCCUACGGGAGGCAGCAGUGGGGAAUUUUGGACAAUGGGCGCAAGCCUGAUCCAGCCAUGCCGCGUGCGGGAAGAAGGCCUUCGGGUUGUAAACCGCUUUUGUCAGGGAAGAAAAGGUUCUGGCUAAUACCUGGGACUCAUGACGGUACCUGAAGAAUAAGCACCGGCUAACUACGUG